AGAGAGGUAGUAUUGUGGAAGAGAGGUUGUAGUGUGGAAGAGAGGUAGUAUAGUGGAAGAGAGGUAGUAUUGUGGAAGAGAGGUAGUGUCGUGGAAGAGAGGUUGUAUCGUGGAAGAGAGUUUCUGUCAUGGGAGAGAGGUAGUAUUGUGGAAGAGAGGUAGUAUCGUGGAAGAGAGGUAGUGUCGUGGAAGAGAGGUAGUAUCGUGGAAGAGAGGUAGUGUCGUGGAAGAGAGUUUCUGUCAUGGGAGAGAGGUAGUAUAGUGGAAGAGAGGUAGUGUCGUGGAAGAGAGGUUGUAUCGUGGAAGAGAGUUUCUGUCAUGGGAGAGAGGUAGUAUAGUGGAAGAGAGGUAGUGUCGUGGAAGAGAGGUUGUAUCGUGGAAGAGAGUUUCUGUCAUGGGAGAGAGGUAGUAUAGUGGAAGAGAGGUAGUAUCGUGGAAGAGAGGUAGUGUCGUGGAAGAGAGUUUCUGUCAUGGGAGAGAGGUAGUAUAGUGGAAGAGAGGUAGUGUCGUGGAAGAGAGGUUGUAUCGUGGAAGAGAGUUUCUGUCAUGGGAGAGAGGUAGUAUAGUGGAAGAGAGGUAGUAUCGUGGAAGAGAGGUAGUGUCGUGGAAGAGAGUUUCUGUCAUGGGAGAGAGGUAGUAUAGUGGAAGAGAGGUAGUGUCGUGGAAGAGAGGUUGUAUCGUGGAAGAGAGUUUCUGUCAUGGGAGAGAGGUAGUAUAGUGGAAGAGAGGUAGUAUCGUGGAAGAGAGGUAGUGUCGUGGAAGAGAGUUUCUGUCAUGGGAGAGAGGUAGUAUAGUGGAAGAGAGGUAGUGUCGUGGAAGAGAGGUUGUAUCGUGGAAGAGAGUUUCUGUCAUGGGAGAGAGGUAGUAUAGUGGAAGAGAGGUAGUAUCGUGGAAGAGAGGUAGUGUCGUGGAAGAGAGUUUCUGUCAUGGGAGAGAGGUAGUAUAGUGGAAGAGAGGUAGUGUCGUGGAAGAGAGGUUGUAUCGUGGAAGAGAGUUUCUGUCAUGGGAGAGAGGUAGUAUAGUGGAAGAGAGGUAGUAUCGUGGAAGAGAGGUAGUGUCGUGGAAGAGAGUUUCUGUCAUGGGAGAGAGGUAGUAUAGUGGAAGAGAGGUAGUGUCGUGGAAGAGAGUUUCUGUCAUGGGAGAGAGGUAGUAUAGUGGAAGAGAGGUAGUGUCGUGGAAGAGAGGUUGUAUCGUGGAAGAGAGUUUCUGUCAUGGGAGAGAGGUAGUAUAGUGGAAGAGAGGUAGUAUCGUGGAAGAGAGGUAGUGUCGUGGAAGAGAGUUUCUGUCAUGGGAGAGAGGUAGUAUAGUGGAAGAGAGGUAGUGUCGUGGAAGAGAGGUUGUAUCGUGGAAGAGAGUUUCUGUCAUGGGAGAGAGGUAGUAUAGUGGAAGAGAGGUAGUGUCAUGGAAGAGAGGUAGUAUAGUGGAAGAGAGGUAGUAUU
This is a long non-coding RNA of Oncorhynchus keta (chum salmon), 1439 nucleotides long. RefSeq lists it as uncharacterized. The transcript has 5 exons. Lineage: Eukaryota; Metazoa; Chordata; Actinopteri; Salmoniformes; Salmonidae. The record is from RefSeq and is a predicted model, not a curated record.